UGGGGAAUAUUGGACAAUGGGGGAAACCCUGAUCCAGCGACGCCGCGUGGGUGAAGAAGGCCUGCGGGUUGUAAAGCCCUUUCGGUUGGGAAGAAAAGUUGCGACCUAACACGUCGCGACCUUGACGUAACCAACUAAAGAAGCACCGGCUAACUCUGUGCCAGCAGCCGCGGUAAUACAGAGGGUGCGAGCGUUAAUCGGAAUUACUGGGCGUAAAGCGUGCGCAGGCGGUUUUGUAAGACAGAUGUGAAAUCCCCGGGCUUAACCUGGGAACUGCGUUUGUGACUGCAAGGCUGGAGUACGGCAGAGGGGGGUGCAAUUCCACGUGUAGCAGGGAAAUGCGUAGAUAUGCGGAGGAACACCGAUGGCGAAGGCAGUCCCCUGGGCCUGUACUGACGCUCAUGCACGAAAGCGUGGGGAGCAAACA
This 427-nucleotide ribosomal RNA is filed under the name uncultured bacterium. RNAcentral's name for it is "bacterial SSU rRNA". It matches the Rfam family "Bacterial small subunit ribosomal RNA", at positions 355 to 774 of the family's 1533-position model. The record is from RNAcentral.